UCCUGGCUCAGGAUGAACGCUAGCGACAGGCUAACACAUGCAAGUCGAGGGGCAGCAUAGAAGUAGCAAUACUUGGUGGCGACCGGCGCACGGGUGAGUAACGCGUAUGCAACCUACCUAUCAGAGGGGAAUAACCCGGCGAAAGUCGGACUAAUACCGCAUAAAACAGGGGCACCGCAUGGUGAUAUUUGUUAAAGAAAUUCGCUGAUAGAUGGGCAUGCGUUCCAUUAGGUAGUUGGUGAGGUAACGGCUCACCAAGCCGACGAUGGAUAGGGGAACUGAGAGGUUGGUCCCCCACACUGGUACUGAGACACGGACCAGACUCCUACGGGAGGCAGCAGUGAGGAAUAUUGGUCAAUGGGCGGGAGCCUGAACCAGCCAAGUCGCGUGAAGGAAGAAGGAUCUAUGGUUCGUAAACUUCUUUUGCAGGGGAAUAAAGUGCAGGACGUGUCCUGUUUUGUAUGUACCCUGAGAAUAAGGAUCGGCUAACUCCGUGCCAGCCGCCGC
Molecule: ribosomal RNA, 507 nt
Filed under: uncultured bacterium
Lineage: Bacteria
Description: bacterial SSU rRNA
Rfam family: Bacterial small subunit ribosomal RNA
Source: RNAcentral